Molecule: non-coding RNA, 25 nt
Filed under: Rattus norvegicus (Norway rat)
Lineage: Eukaryota; Metazoa; Chordata; Mammalia; Rodentia; Muridae
Source: RNAcentral
CGGCAGGUUUCAGGGAAGAGGUGGC